Molecule: ribosomal RNA, 246 nt
Filed under: uncultured bacterium
Lineage: Bacteria
Description: partial small subunit ribosomal RNA
Rfam family: Bacterial small subunit ribosomal RNA
Source: RNAcentral
AGAAUCAACGCUGGCGGCGUGCCUAACACAUGCAAGUCGCACGAGAAAGGGUAGCAAUACCUGAGUAAAGUGGCGCACGGGUGAGUAACACGUGAAUGAUCUACCUCCGAGUGGGGAAUAACUGAGAGAAAUCUUAGCUAAUACCGCAUAACACUUACGAGUCAAAGCAGCAAUGCGCUUGGAGAGGAGUUCGCGGCCGAUUAGUUAGUUGGCGGGGUAAUGGCCCACCAAGACGAUGAUCGGUAU